This 90-nucleotide transfer RNA is filed under the name Lysobacterales bacterium. RNAcentral's name for it is "tRNA-Ser". It matches the Rfam family "tRNA". From Rfam's summary of the family: Transfer RNA (tRNA) molecules are approximately 80 nucleotides in length. Their secondary structure includes four short double-helical elements and three loops (D, anti-codon, and T loops). Further hydrogen bonds mediate the characteristic L-shaped molecular structure. tRNAs have two regions of fundamental functional importance: the anti-codon, which is responsible for specific mRNA codon recognition, and the 3' end, to which the tRNAs corresponding amino acid is attached (by aminoacyl-tRNA synthetases). tRNAs cope with the degeneracy of the genetic code in two manners: having more than one tRNA (with a specific anti-codon) for a particular amino acid; and 'wobble' base-pairing, i.e. permitting non-standard base-pairing at the 3rd anti-codon position. RNAcentral also lists the same sequence under 2 other names. Lineage: Bacteria; Pseudomonadati; Pseudomonadota; Gammaproteobacteria; Lysobacterales. The record is from RNAcentral.
GGAGAGAUGGCCGAGCGGUUUAAGGCACCGGUCUUGAAAACCGGCGUAGUAGCGAUACUACCGUGGGUUCGAAUCCCACUCUCUCCGCCA